Schistosoma mansoni is the source of this 45-nucleotide non-coding RNA. The record is from Rfam. NCBI's taxonomy places the organism in Eukaryota, Metazoa, Platyhelminthes, Trematoda, Strigeidida, Schistosomatidae.
AUCCAGCUGACAAGUCCCAAAUAGGACGAAAGAUGCAUCCUGGAU